Malaya genurostris is the source of this 1053-nucleotide long non-coding RNA. RefSeq lists it as uncharacterized. The transcript is spliced from 3 exons. NCBI's taxonomy places the organism in Eukaryota, Metazoa, Arthropoda, Insecta, Diptera, Culicidae. The record is from RefSeq and is a predicted model, not a curated record.
UUGAAUCCUCUCGCAAAUGCGAAUAAUCAACCGCAAAGCGACGCGUAAAACAACGCACCGCUGUGAACAAGAAAAACGCGACGAUAGCACUGGUCUCAACUGUCAAAUGCACUUCCUCACAAAUUUGCAUAUCGCUCAGCGGAACGGACGAAUUUGGUGUGAGGCACGCUACGCUUAUCACACUUAUUGGUUCCUUAUUUAACACGAAGAGCACUCCGAUAUCACGAACUGCCAAGGAAUUAAUCGGACGGAAUAACAGUGAGUAAUUCUAUAUUUGGAAGCCACUGCGAGGGAAAUUGUCGGUACUGACAAAGAUCCGGAGUGAGCAAGGUGGUCAUAACUCACGGAGUAAAAUAAACCACAACGAAGACCAUUCGACAUCAUCACGCGUUAGAGUGAAAGUGUGAAUCAGAAAUCACACAAUUGCGGAAGGCGAGGUUGACGUCACGAGAUCAGUCGCUAGGAAAAAAUUCACGUGUCGCACUCCCGCACGGAUUGCAGUGACAGACAAAUACGAAGGGGAUCACACAGGCCCCCUUAUUUUUCAGAUUGCAAAUCAGCACAUCAUCGCAUUGUCUAGCGUCGUGUGACGUCAUCAUUCACCGUAUUGCAAGAGUAUCGAAAGCGAUCUUAAGUCAGUUGCUGACAUUGUGGAGCGAGAAAAGUCACACCGUGCAAUGGUGCGGAUCUGGUCCAGCGGAUGGCAUGAGUAAGCGAAGAGCUGGUUAGUUUUGCAUGCUGGCAUUUAGGAAGGUGAGCGGCAGUGAGGCGGAGGUUGGAUCAUAGGCUGGCGUAUAUGAAUAGAGUCGGGAUGGCGAUGGCAUGAGUAAGUGAAGAGCGGGAGAGAAAUGCAUGCAGGAACAUAAGGUUAGUGAACGGUACCGCGGAGGAUGUUAGAGGCUAAGGAAUAAAUAGUAAUGAAAGUAAAUGAAAAUGCAUGUUAGAAUUAGGUAAUAGUAAGAGGAGGAAGAAAUAAGUUGAGGGAGAAAAUUAGGAGAGAGAAGGAGAAGAUGGAAUGUCGGGGGAUAGCAUGUAGGAUUGAAUACAUUAUCA